Small nucleolar RNA from Gossypium arboreum, 107 nucleotides. It matches the Rfam family "Plant small nucleolar RNA R71". Rfam says of the family: R71 is a member of the C/D box family of snoRNAs containing the C (UGAUGA) and D (CUGA) box motifs. The record is from Rfam. NCBI's taxonomy places the organism in Eukaryota, Viridiplantae, Streptophyta, Magnoliopsida, Malvales, Malvaceae.
AACCCAUAGUGAGGACACUUUCUCAAUAAAUCCUUAUACCUCUCCUAUGCAUCAUAUAGAGUCUCUAAAUUAAUAUAGACGAAGGAAGAGAUAUCAUUCCUUAACUU